CACGUAGGGUGCAAGCGUUGUCCGGAAUCAUUGGGCGUAAAGAGCUCGUAGGCGGCUUAGUAAGUCGGGUGUGAAAACCCCAGGCUCAACCUGGGGACGCCACCCGAUACUGCUAUAGCUAGAGUCCAGUAGGGGAGUGUGGAAUUCCCAGUGUAGCGGUGAAAUGCGCAGAUAUUGGGAGGAACACCAGUGGCGAAGGCGGUGCUCUGGGCCGGAACUGACGCUGAGGAGCGAAAGCGUGGGGAGCAAACAGG
This 254-nucleotide ribosomal RNA is filed under the name uncultured bacterium. Its description in RNAcentral is "partial 16S ribosomal RNA". It matches the Rfam family "Bacterial small subunit ribosomal RNA", at positions 524 to 776 of the family's 1533-position model. The record is from RNAcentral.